Molecule: ribosomal RNA, 912 nt
Filed under: uncultured bacterium
Lineage: Bacteria
Description: bacterial SSU rRNA
Rfam family: Bacterial small subunit ribosomal RNA
Source: RNAcentral
AGAGUUUGAUCCUGGCUCAGAUUGAACGCUGGCGGCAUGCCUUACACAUGCAAGUCGAACGGCAGCACGGAGCUUGCUCUGGUGGCGAGUGGCGAACGGGUGAGUAAUAUAUCGGAACGUACCCUAGAGUGGGGGAUAACGUAGCGAAAGUUACGCUAAUACCGCAUACGAUCUAAGGAUGAAAGUGGGGGAUCGCAAGACCUCAUGCUCGUGGAGCGGCCGAUAUCUGAUUAGCUAGUUGGUAGGGUAAAAGCCUACCAAGGCAUCGAUCAGUAGCUGGUCUGAGAGGACGACCAGCCACACUGGAACUGAGACACGGUCCAGACUCCUACGGGAGGCAGCAGUGGGGAAUUUUGGACAAUGGGCGAAAGCCUGAUCCAGCAAUGCCGCGUGAGUGAAGAAGGCCUUCGGGUUGUAAAGCUCUUUUGUCAGGGAAGAAACGGUGAGAGCUAAUAUCUUUUGCUAAUGACGGUACCUGAAGAAUAAGCACCGGCUAACUACGUGCCAGCAGCCGCGGUAAUACGUAGGGUGCAAGCGUUAAUCGGAAUUACUGGGCGUAAAGCGUGCGCAGGCGGUUUUGUAAGUCUGAUGUGAAAUCCCCGGGCUCAACCUGGGAAUUGCAUUGGAGACUGCAAGGCUAGAAUCUGGCAGAGGGGGGUAGAAUUCCACGUGUAGCAGUGAAAUGCGUAGAUAUGUGGAGGAACACCGAUGGCGAAGGCAGCCCCCUGGGUCAAGAUUGACGCUCAUGCACGAAAGCGUGGGGAGCAAACAGGAUUAGAUACCCUGGUAGUCCACGCCCUAAACGAUGUCUACUAGUUGUCGGGUCUUAAUUGACUUGGUAACGCAGCUAACGCGUGAAGUAGACCGCCUGGGGAGUACGGUCGCAAGAUUAAAACUCAAAGGAAUUGACGG